UACGUAGGUGACAAGCGUUGUCCGGAUUUACUGGGCGUAAAGAGCGCGCAGGCGGUCGAUCAAGUCGAGUGUGAAAGCCCCCGGCUAAACUGGGGAGGGUCAUUCGAUACUGAUCGACUCGAAGGCAGGAGAGGGUAGUGGAAUUCCCGGUGUAGUGGUGAAAUGCGUAGAUAUCGGGAGGAACACCAGUGGCGAAGGCGACUACCUGGCCUGUUCUUGACGCUGAGGCGCGAAAGCUAGGGGAGCAAACGGG
RNAcentral lists this ribosomal RNA (253 nucleotides) under uncultured bacterium. RNAcentral describes it as "partial 16S ribosomal RNA". It matches the Rfam family "Bacterial small subunit ribosomal RNA", at positions 524 to 776 of the family's 1533-position model. The record is from RNAcentral.